UACGUAGGGUGCAAGCGUUGUCCGGAAUUAUUGGGCGUAAAGGGCUCGUAGGCGGUUUGUCGCGUCGGGAGUGAAAACUCAGGGCUUAACCCUGAGCCUGCUUCCGAUACGGGCAGACUAGAGGUAUGCAGGGGAGAAUGGAAUUCCUGGUGUAGCGGUGAAAUGCGCAGAUAUCAGGAAGAACACCCGUGGCUAAGGCGGUUCUCUAGUACGGUACUGACGCUGAGACGCGAAAGCGUGGGGAGCGAACAGG
RNAcentral lists this ribosomal RNA (253 nucleotides) under uncultured bacterium. RNAcentral's name for it is "partial 16S ribosomal RNA". It matches the Rfam family "Bacterial small subunit ribosomal RNA", at positions 524 to 776 of the family's 1533-position model. The record is from RNAcentral.